RNAcentral lists this transfer RNA (84 nucleotides) under uncultured organism BAC21E04. Its description in RNAcentral is "tRNA-Leu". It matches the Rfam family "tRNA". From Rfam's summary of the family: Transfer RNA (tRNA) molecules are approximately 80 nucleotides in length. Their secondary structure includes four short double-helical elements and three loops (D, anti-codon, and T loops). Further hydrogen bonds mediate the characteristic L-shaped molecular structure. tRNAs have two regions of fundamental functional importance: the anti-codon, which is responsible for specific mRNA codon recognition, and the 3' end, to which the tRNAs corresponding amino acid is attached (by aminoacyl-tRNA synthetases). tRNAs cope with the degeneracy of the genetic code in two manners: having more than one tRNA (with a specific anti-codon) for a particular amino acid; and 'wobble' base-pairing, i.e. permitting non-standard base-pairing at the 3rd anti-codon position. The record is from RNAcentral.
GCCUAGGUGGCGGAAUAGGUAGACGCAUCGGACUUAAAAUCCGCUGACAUUUAUGUCGUGCGAGUUCAAGUCUCGCUCUAGGUA